Molecule: long non-coding RNA, 10231 nt
Filed under: Vigna radiata
Lineage: Eukaryota; Viridiplantae; Streptophyta; Magnoliopsida; Fabales; Fabaceae
Description: long non-coding RNA (VRAD_LNC003375)
Source: RNAcentral
AUUAAGACUGUUUUAAAAAAAAAAAAAUCCUUUAAAAUUCUUCAUCAAAUAUGGUGACCAAGGUUUAAAACAUAAUUUUAAUUCCAAUAAUAUUAUUAAGUACUACUAAUAUUUAUCUUUCAUCUUGCAUUUUACUGCAACCUCUUUAUUUAUUUUUGUAAAGUAUUUAUUUUUUUGAAAACAUUGUUUAUGAUUAUGGUUUCUUCUUUCUGAAAAUUUAUUAUUUAUGAUUUAUGAUUUUUAGCCCACUUUAACUUUAUUAUCUUUUACUUAAAGAGUUAUUUUGAAAAGAAAAAGAAAAAUUAAUUUUCAAAUAUCAUAUCUAGAAAGCAUUAAUGACAUUAAGUUGUAAUUUGUUAUUAAAGUCAUAGAUGAAAUAUUUGUUAUUAUAUUUAUACAACACAAAAAACAUGGUGAAAAUAAUUCAAUCGAGAGAUGAAUAUAAAGGAUUGAAAUACGAAAAAUUAAAUAGAAUGAUAGCUCAAAUACGAAGAAGAGAACAAACUGAGAUACAAGUAAAUAAAAGAAAGGUUUAAACCCUUUUUUGGUCCCUAAGUUAAAUUCUGAUGUUCAAUUUAGUCCUCGCAUUUAAAAAUGUCAACUUUUAGUCCCUAUGAUAUGAAAAAUGUAUCAACUCAGUUCUCAUGACAGCACUUAAUGAAUAAUAAAUCACAAGUUUUCAUACCUAGGUAUCCAAUAUUUUGUGAUUUGUUAACGAAAGGUGUUAUGAACAACAAAUCACUUAAUGAAAAACUUGUGAUUUGUUAACGGAUAUUAAGUGAUUUAUUGUUCAUAACACCUUCCGUUAACAAAUCACAAAUUCAAAUCACUUAAUGAAAAACUUGUGAUUUGUUAACGGAUAUUAAGUGAUUUAUUGUUCAUAACACCUUCCGUUAACAAAUCACAAAAUAUUGUUCAUUAAGUGCUGUCAUGAGGACUGAUUUGAUACAUUUUUCAUAUUAUAGGGACUAAAGAUUGACAUUUUUAAAAAUGGAGACUAAAGUAAAUAUCAGAACUUAACUUAGGGACAAAAAAAGAUUUGAACCUAAAAGAAAUCUACCUCUAGUGGAGGGAUCCACUUUACACAUUGGAUACUUUAUUUUAUUAUUGAAAUCUCAAAAACGUUGUUACCCUGUCGUGUGGACAACCACAACUUUCUUAUCCAAAUGUACCAAAACACUCUUCUUAAAAGAUUGAAAAGAACGUGAGCAAAUCAUUACAAACAUUGCAUUAGUAAAUUUCUUAUUCCAAACUUGAAAAGGACCAACCAUCAUUUGUUUUCCGUAUCCUAAAAAAAGUAUUCUGUAAUCUGAUUUUCCAAAUUUGUUUCACAGUUCAUAUCUUAAAUAAGGAUGAAAAGAAAUUUAAAUUUGGAAAUUCAAUUCAUAAUAAAUUAAAUUUAUAUUACUUUAUAUUUAUUUUAAAAAAUUAGAUUUAAAUCUAUAUUUUUUAAUUUCAUAUUCAAUGUACUUAAUAAGAUUUGGAUUGGCUUUUAAUUGAAUUACGUCUUUUAUUUUGAAAAUCCAAAAUUAGUGUGUAUUUAAGUCAACUAAGGCACAUUAUUACAAAAAAAAGUAUUUUUAUAUCACUUCAAAAGACUUUUAUAUUAGUUUGCAAAUUAGUAUAAAAGUAAGAGAUAUAAAAAGUAUUUGAUUUUCGAAAUAAAAAAUUCAUUUUUUAUUUUGAUUUUGAAUUCGAUAUAAAAGUAAAGUAUCACAUAAAUGAUUGAAGUUUUUUUUGUCAUGGAUUGGUAAUUAUAGGUUCAAUUCUUGUAAUGUGUGUAAAAUGUGUUUUCACUAUUUUGCUGUUUGAUUUGGGGAAUUUGUUUAGUAGUUGUGUGAGGUGUGUUCAAACCUAGAAUAUAUAUAUAUGUAUAAUUAUUGUGAGAAAAAUAUUCAAUUUCACUUGCUCUUAUUGAAAAUAAGAUUAUCAUAAAUUCGAAAAAUAACACAUAAUUUUAUAAAAUCGUAAGAUUUUUUUUUAUCUAAAUAAGUUAAGUUUUUUAUUAAAAAGAUGUAUCUAAACAUGUUCUAUUUGAUAUGUGUAAAAGAAAAACUAUACUUGAUUUCUUUAAGAAAAUAAAGAAAUAAUAGUCAGGCAAGAUGAUAUGGAUGAACUCCUUCUCUCGUGUUUUUAUGCUAAAAAUCUGGCUUUAUAAAUUUAAUAAAUACUUUGAUAUUGUUUUAAUGGGAGAAGAAGUGUACCAAUAUAGUGAAACACGUUAUAAAAUUAGACUCAUCCAAUUAAUAUUAUAUAUUCUUAAUGAAACUUCUAGUGGAUGAACCUAAGAACUUUCUAUAAAACUUGAUUAUAAAUAUCUCUUAUUGAAGAGUCUUACUGAAUACAGCAUUGUAUAUCCUGAAAAGCUCAUACAUAUAUCCUUGUUUAAUCUUAUUGAUGGAGGGCGGAAGUAGAGAGACACACAACUUAAGUGGGAAAAUAGAAAGCUUAUUUUAUUGGAAGUAGAAGGAAUGAAUUAAUCUACUUGGACGAUGUUUAACUCUCCUCUCUUUAAUUUCUCUCUCUCGCUACUCAGAACAUACUGUGAAUUAUACUUCACUACCUUUCAUUAGUUGAAUAAGGCCAUUAAAAUAGUCAUACAAAAACAGAAUAAAAAUUGUUACGUAGAGAAAUAUAAAAACUAAACACUUUGGUCAACGCCACUGGAAGGCUUCCAUAAAUCUUAUUGUGAUUGAUAUCAAACCAAAUCAAGGUUUUCUUCGGAAACGUCACAGGAGACAGAUCAAAGGAGAAGGCGUUCCUGGAAAGAUCAAGUACCUGAGUUUUUUUCUUGCUUCCGAAAAGAAAUGAAGCAUCGCCUACCAAGUUGUUCCUUGACAAGUCUAUAUUGUCUGGGUCUAGGUUGCCCAAGGAAGGGGGAAGGGUCCCAGAAAGUUGGUUGUGAGAGAGUUUGAGAUCUGGCCCGGGCUUCUUGAAGGACCCGAAAGAGGCCGGGAUUGGGCCCGUCAAUUUGUUCCUGUCCAACUGUAGAGACCCGAGAUUAGGGAGCUGGGAAAGUGAGCUGGGAAUGGAGCCCGAGAGGCUGUUAAAGGAAAGGGCUAUAUACUCGAGGGUCUUAAUCUGGCCUAGAAAUUCAGGUAUUGAGCCUGAGAGACCAGUAUAUGUGAUAGAGAGAGAUUUGAGUUUGGUGAGUUUGGUGAUGGUUGUCGGAAUUGGGCCGACGAGGUUGGGGAGCUUGUGAAAGUCAAGGUACUCGAGGUAAGGGAGGUCACCCACAGAGGGUGGUAUUUGGCCAGUGACAUUGGGGUCUGGAAAAGAGGAUACUAGAAAUACUUCGUAGAUACGAUUAUUUCUGUCGUCACACUUAACACAGUACCAGUCACAGCAAUCCUCUUUUGGGUCCCAAGAAGCUAAGAAGUAAGGGUUGUUGAGUUCCUUUUUGAAGCGGAGGAGCACCUUCUUGUCCUGUGGGUGGCACCGCUCCGAUACUGCAACUGGAAAUGGGGACAACACUAGGACGCAUAGUCCCAACAUCAUUAACAGGCUUCGCAUUUUGCUUAUGAAUGUGAAGUCACAAGUUGUGUGUUCCAGAAGUACAUCGACACCCUUCUCAUUCCUCUCAUUUUAAACAACGAGGCGACGGUGCAGGGGUAAGUCACAUUUCAUGUUUUUCACAUGGGGAAUAAUAUCCGGUGCUAGUCACCAUCACACGUCAAAAUCACCCAUGUGGGGUUGUCUAUCGAAACAGUAUCCGUGAUUUACAGCUUUUUCCUACCCACUGCUGGCAUAUACACGCCAAAACAAAGCCAAUUAAAAACACAAAUACUAUACAUUAUUUAAUAAAAAAAAUUCCAACAACAGUAUUUUCUUUAAGGACAAUCAUGUUUUAACAACACUUUUAACUUUUUUUUACAACAGGACAGGUGUCACCAUUUCAUUCGUUUGUUUGAAUUUAUUUUAAAAAAUAUUUAAAACGGACCAAUUAUAAACUGUCACAUACGCGUUGUCAAAAAAAAAGGUUGUUAAAGAGACUUUUUCCUUUCUUUAACAAGUGUUAUAUGAUGAAGUUGUUUCCAACGGUUCACAAUUUAAAUUUUAAAUUGUCAUUAUAAUUUUUUAGAAAACUCUUUAAACAUGUUGAAAUAUGCAUAACGCAAUUUUAAAAGGAUAUAUAGGGAUCUAAUUUAAACUACUUUACCCAUAGUAUGCAAAAAAAAAAAACGAAAAUGAUAUUUUAACCUUUUUAUUUUUAUCUUUUACACAUAUUAUUAGGUUACAGGUGUGCAAACUAAAAUAAUUACAAAAAUGGAUAGUUUCUUACUCUUUAAAUUACAAAAAUAAAGUAGGUGACUUAAAAUUUAUAGUCCAAGAAUAAAUUUAUAGAAUUGUGACGACUUCUAAAAUUAAAUUAUCGUAAAAAUUUACUACGUGAAGUUGUUAAUUAGGAUUGAUGAUGAUUAAUGUGUAAAAAUGUUGGAUGAAAGUUAUUAAAAAUGGUAACGACUUUUAAUUUAUAUGAUGUCGUUUAAAAUAGUGAUAACUUUCAAUUGAACAAAAUUCGUUUGCAAUCAUGACAAUUUUAAUACACAGUUUUUCGAUUAAAGUUAUCAUUAGUGAUAAUGAUUUUCAUUGUGAAAUUGAGCUUCUCUUCUAUUACAAAGUUGAAACCGAGGAGUUUGUGGAGUUAAAACCGAACUUAUCGAGUUCUCUUCUAUUGUCUAGUCUAUCGAGCUGAAAUCAAACUUUUCCUUUUAUGUUUUUUAUAUAUACUAGUUGAUUGACCCGUGUGUACACACGUGUUAUUUGUUUUUUUUUUUCUUAAUAAUUAUUUUUAUUUUAUAUUUAAAAAUAAUAAAGUAGUGAAAUUAUUAUGUAAUGAGAUAUAAUGAAAAUUAGUUUGUGUUGUUGUAAUAAUUAUUAUUAAAAUAAUCAAAUAGUAAAUUUAAGUGAUAUGAUAAUAAUUUUAAUGUUGAAUAUAAUAAGUGAAAUUAAUAUUGUCAACAUCCCAUUUUAUUUAGGUAACAAUGAUGAUAAAUGAAGAUUAAAAUUAACUUGAAAAAAAAGUGACAUGGAAAACAAAAUAAAAAACUAUGUUGGUUAAGUUGAGAAAUACUAUAUAUUUUAUUUUAUUAUUUACUUUUUAUUUUAUCUUAUUUUAUUUAAGUUAAUUUCUUAUUGUUUUAUUUUAUCUUUUUAUCUUAUUUUAUUUUUACUUUUAUUUUAUCUUAUUCUACUUUAUUUUUAUUUUUAUUUUUAUUUGAUUUUAGAAAAAUGAUAAAAAGUGAAAUGAAUGAGUGAAGUGAAGUUGAAAGAAAUAUCGUAUAUUUGUGUCAAUUAUUUUGUUUGGACAGUCUACACCCUUUGCUCAUUUUGGCUAUAGUCUCCAUGGACCAGUAUAUGUUGUCAUUGAUUAUAUAUCAAAGGAUAAAGCCGCCAACGUGUUCACUAUAAAAAUAUAUAAUUUUUUUAAGGAUUAUUUUUAACGUUAUCGACUAUUUUAAUCUCUGUAAAAUGUAUUAUCUAUGAUUGCAAAAAUUGCUGGAAAAAACAACAUCGUUAAGUAUUAUCGGUGAUUUUUGGCUAAAACAGCCGCAAUUUAUUGGGAUUUUGCUAAAAUCGCCAGUAUUUCCCAAGGUGUGAAAUGGAAGCCAAGAGAGCUGCAUGGCUUACCACAAAAUAGUUGGGAUGGUAAUUCACCUACUGGUUAUGAGGAGGCUUAUCAAGAUGAUAGAACAACAGUGGACAACAAGGUCUCAAUAGUGGACAUUAAGUUCAGAGGUUAGAAAAAGGGAAUAUUUUGAGGAGCGGUUGAAGGCAAUUUUGAAGGAGGUGGAAGAGGCCAAGGAGAAAGUUAUUAUGUUCAUUGAUGAGAUUCAUUUGGUUCUUGGUGUUGGAAAAGGUGGGGGUUCCAUGGAUGCUGCUAAUUUGUUUAAGCCUAUGCUUAUGCAAGGUCAGUUGAGGUGCAUUGACGCCACCACACUUAAGGAGUAUAGGAAGUAUGUAGAGAAGGAUGCAGCCUUUGAAAGAAGGUUUCAACAGGUGUACGUGGUGGAAUCAAGUGUUGUUGAUACUGUAAGUAUAUCUUGAAAUCCAAGAAGAACCUUCGUCUACAAAGACCAAUUGCCGUAAUUAGUCUUUUCCGACAAGUGUGGCACACUCAUUCCAUUAACUACCUUUGUCAUCUCUCACAAAAAAAACUCAAGUACUCAUUUUUUCCCUCACGAUGUUUAACUCUCCUCUCUUUAAUUUCUCUCUCUCGCUACUCAGAACAUAAUCUGAAGUAUACUACGCUACCUUUCAUCAAUUGAAUAAGGCCAUUGAAAUACCCGUACAAAAACAAAAUAAAAAUUGUUACGUACAAAAAUAUAAAAACUAAACAACGGACAAAUAUCAUCAUCCAUUCAAAUUAACAAAAUAAAAAAUUACAUUUUUAACCCUUUUUAAAAUUUAAGUUUAUUUAAGACUUACAUCGUUAUUAUGUCGAAUAUGAACGCCAAAUAAGAUUGAAAAAGACAUUUUGGCCAGACUACAAUUAAUAAAUGGGAUUUUUGGUUUAAUUUUUCCGAAUGAAUAAACGCAAUUGAAUUUAAUUUAUCAUAUUUUGUACGAUUUGAAUUUAACUAUGAUAAUUCGAUAAUUUCAUAUCGGUAGGAUAAUUCUUGAAAAGAAAUAAUGAUUUGUUUAACUUUGAAAUUUGAGUUUUAUUAGUUUUAUAUAAAACAUUUGUUUACUAAAACGAGUGAACAUGAAGGUCAAGCAUUUAACAAGUUCAAAUAGUUCAUAUCACUCAACUCGUAUAUAUCUUUGUUUUCAGACUUUCAAUACCUAUGGAAGAGACCUUGUGAACAAGCAGGGAAGCUCAAUCCAGUUAUUGGAAGGGAUGAGGAAAUAUGAAGGGUUGUGAGGAUUUUAUCUAGAAGGACAAGAAAUUCCCCAAUUUUGAUUGGUGAAUCGGGUUUGGGAAAAAUUGUUGUGGUUGAAGGGUUGGCUCAAAUGAUUGUUAAAGGGGAUGUUCCUAGUAAUCUUUCUAAUGUUAGACUCAUUGCAUUAGACAUGGGUGUGUUGAUUGCGAAAGCGAAGUAUAGAAGGGAGUUUGAGGAGCGGUUGAAGGCAAUUUUGAAGGAGGUGGAAGAGGCUAAGGAGAAAGUUAUUUUGUUCAUUGAUGAGAUUCAUUUGGUUCUUGGUGCUGGAAAAGGUGAGGGGUCCAAGGAUGCUCCAAAUUUGUUUAAGCCUAUGCUUGUGCGGGGUCAGUUGAGGUGCAUUGGCGCCACCAUGCUUCAGGAGUAUAGGAAGUAAGUAGAGAAGGAUGCAACCUUCGAAAGAAGGUUUCAACAGGUGUACGUGGCGGAACCAAGUGUUGUUGAUAUUGUAAGUAUAUCUUGGGAUCCAAGUAGAACCUUCAUCUACAAAGACCAAUUGUCGUAAAUCAUUUUUUCCAACAAUUGUGACAGAAUCAUUCCAUUGAAUACCUUUGUCAUCUCUCACAAAAAAAAAAACAAAAAACUCAAGCACUUACUUUUCCCUUCACUUUGUUUAACUCUUCUCUCUCUAUUUUUUUUCUCUCUCGGUACUCAAAACAUAAAACUCUGAUACCACUUUGUUAAACUAAUCUUAUGCACACAAAAUAUUUUUCUGUGAAUUAUACUUCACUACCUUUCAUUAGUUGAAUAAGGCCAUUAAAAUAGUCAUACAAAAACAGAAUAAAAAUUGUUACGUAGAGAAAUAUAAAAACUAUACAAUGAAAAAAAUAUCCCCAUCCCUUGAAAUUAACAAAAUAAAAAAUUACAUUUUUAACCCUUUUUAAAUUUAAGUUUAUUUAACACUUACUUAGUCAUUAUGCUGAAUAUGAACACUACAUGAUAAAUUCGAAAAGACUUUUCGGCCAAACUACAUUUAAUAAAUGAGAUUUUAGGUUUAAUUUUUCUGAAUGAAUAAACGCAAUUGAAUUUAAUUUAGCAUAUUUUGUACAAUUUAAGUUUAACUAUGAUAAUUCAAUAAUUUCAUAUCGGUAGGAUAAUUCUUGAAAAUAAAUAAUGAUUUAUUUAACUUUGACAUUUGAGUUGUACUAGUUUAAUAUAAAACAUUUGUUUACUAAAACGAGUGAACAUGAUGAUCAAGCAUUUAACAAGUUCAAAUAGUUCAUAUCACUCACCUCGUAUAUACCUUUGUUUUCAGACUUUGAAUAGCGAUGGAAGAGAACUUGUGGAACAAGCAGGGAAGCUCGACCCGGUUAUUGGAUAAGAUGAGGAAAUACAAAGGGUUGUGAGGAUUUUAUCUAGAAGGACGAAAAAAUAACCCAGUUUUGAUUGGGGAACCCGGGGUGGGAAAAACUGUUGUGGUUGAAGGGUUGGCUGAGACGAUCGUUAAAGGAGAUGUUCCUAGUAAUCUUGCUGAUGUUAGGCUCAUUGCAUUGGACAUGAGUGUGUUGGUUGCAGGUGCGAAGUAUAGAGGGGAGUUUGAGGAGCGAUUGAAGGCAAUUUUGAAGGAGGUGGAAGAGGCUGAGGAGAAAGUUAUUAUGUUUAUUAAUGAGAUUCAUUUGGUUCUUGGUGCUUGAAAAGGUGAGGGUUCCAAGGAUGCUACAAAUUUGUUUUAAGCCUAUGUUUGCGUGGGGUCAGUUGAGGUGCAUUGGCGCCACCAUGCUUCAGGAGUAUAGGAAGUAUGUAGAGAAAGAUGCAACCUUUAAAAGAAGGUUUCAGCAAGUGUACAUGGCGAAACCAAGUGUUGCUGAUAUUGUAAGUAUAUCUUGGGAUCCAAGUAGAACCUUCAUCUACAAACACCAAUUGUCGUAAUUCAUUUUUUGCAACAAUUGUGGCACAAUUAUUCUUGUAUGAUAUAUAAAUGAAGAGACCUUGUGGAACAAGCAGGGAAGCUCGACCCGGUUAUUGGAAGGGAUGAGGAAAUACGAAGGGUUGUGAGGAUUUUAUCUAGAAGGACGAAAAAUAACCCAAUUUUGAUUGGUGAACCCAGUAUGGGAAAACCUGUUGUGGUUGAAGGGUUGGUUGAGAGGAUCGUUAAAGGAGAUGUUCCUAGUAAUCUUGCUGAUGUUAGGUUCAUUGCAUUGGACAUGGGUGUGUUGGUUGCGGGCGCGAAGUAUAGAGGGGAGUUUGAGGAGCGGUUGAAGACAAUUUUGAAGGAGGUGAAAGAGGCUGCGGAGAAAGUUAUUUUGUUCAUUGAUGAGAUUCAUUUAGUUCUUGGUGUUAAGGGUUCCAUGAAUGUUGCUAAUUUCUUUAAGCUUAUGCUUGUGUAGGGUCAGUUGAGGUGCAUUAGCACCACCACGUUUGAGGAGUAUAAAAAGUAUCUAAAGAAAGAUGCAACCUUUGAAAAAAGGUUUCAAUAGGCGUAGGUGACGGAACUAAGUGUUGUUGAUACUAUAAGUAUAUCUUGGGAUUUAAGAAGAACCUUCAUACAUAUCCUCAAAAGUUCAUACAUAUCCUUGAUUAAUCUUAUUGAUGGAGGGCGGAAGUAGAGAGACACACAACUUAAGUGGGAAAAUAGAAAGCUUAUUUUAUUGGAAGUAGAAGGAAUGAAUUAAUCUACUUGGUGCAGGGCAGAAGUGGAGAGCCACACAACUUGGUGUGAAAGAAGGCAUAUUUAUCGAAUCUAUGCAAUUCCCCACCCUNUGGUAUUUGGCCCUUNNACUGAGGAUUAUAANUGANGUUCAACUGCUGCAAAUUUUCCACUUUGGUCAACGCCACUGGAAGGCUUCCAUAAAUCUUAUUGUGAUUGAUAUCAAACCAAAUCAAGGUUUUCUUCGGAAACGUCACAGGAGACAGAUCAAAGGAGAAGGCGUUCCUAGAAAGGUCAAGUAUCUGAGUCUUUUUCUUGCUCUCGAAAAGAAAUGAAGCAUCGCCUACGAAGUUAUUCCUUGACAAGUCUAUCCUGUCUGGGUCUAGGUUGCCCAAGUAAGGGGGAAUGGCCCUAGAAAGUUAGUUGUGAGAGAGUUGAAGAUCUGGCCCGGGCUUCUUGAAGGAGCCGAAAGAGGCCGGGAUUGGACCCGUCAAUUUGUUCCUGUCCAACUGUAGAGACCCAAGAUUAGGGAGCUGGGAAAGUGAGCUGGGAAUGGAGCCCGAGAGGUUGUUAAAGGAAAGGGCGAUCGACUCAAGGCUCUUAACCUGGCCCAGAAAUUUAGGUAUCGGGCCUGAGAGACCAGUAUUGGUGAUAGAGAGUUGUUUCAAUUUGGUGAGUUUGGUGAUGGUUGUCGGAAUGGGGCCGACGAGUUUUGGGAGCUUGUGAAAGGUAAGGUACUCGAGGUAAGGGAGGUCACCCACAA